GAACUGUCUAGACGCUGCCCGGCAUACGCAGCGCCAGGUGGUGCUAAGCAACCGUGAGAUACGCCUUCUCAGGUAUGUGAACCUGACAGAAGAAGAGUGUGCUCGCAUCGAUGGAAAUCCCAAGGUGGCUCGCAAACUAGACCGCCUACGGAAUCGCGGUGCGGGAGCAGCAGGGAGUGGUGCAACAGACGGCCUGCCCGGUAUUGGCGACGAGGAUGACGAAGAGGACGAGGACGCAACUGAGUCGGAGUCCGAGUCCACCGAUUCCGAUCUUCCGAGGUCGGGUGACUGGAGCUGCGAUUCGCUAGGUGCCGCGGUGUCGCCCAGCCACUCGACGGACUGUUCGGGGCCGAAGGCAUCCAGCCCUCUGACGGCCAAUGGGCACGCCUCGAGGAACAGCUGCUGCUGUGGGGAAUGCCGAACAUCAAAGGAGGGGGCGGAAGCAGCCUGCCAAACGCUUUCUACGGGGGACAUUGUCAUAACUAAGGUGUUCUUCGAAGAACAGGAGCACGGGGGAAAAACAAUCAUCCAGUGAGAUUUUAUAUAACUAAACCAGUGAGAGUAGUGUACCUCAGAGAACCGUUACUGUGUUGUGACAUGGCAUUUAAGAGGGCUCUUUUUAAGAGGGUACCGGUAAACCAAGUGACGGCCGAGGCAAAAUAGAGUGGCAGAUUUUCUAUAGGUGGCGCGUGUUCCAUCUGUUCAAAAGGAUUUCCACAACGCACUCAAGAAAGAAUGUACCUGCCAUGUUCUGUGAGGUUUCUUGUGCACGAGUUUUUUUAUGGGGUGCUUGCUUCUGCAGAACCUAUAUGUACAAGUGCCUUGACAUAGCUGCUCACUACCUUGGAGGGUUUGCUUGAAGCUUCCUGGGUUUGAGAGACCUUUUUCCCACAAGUGUGCACUGUCUGUUUAACCAAGUGACAAUGCAGAAUCGUUUCAAUAAGUUUGGAGUCAGGUUGUGUGCUGCACAUUUGAGCACGCAUGCAGUCUGUGCGAACUUGCGGAGAUGAUGUUUUUGUGUUUUGAGAAUAAAAACAAUUGUAGAUGCUUUUAUAGCCAUCUUGUUGGGUAUGGCAUAAACGUGAAUAAACGAAUGCAAGCAGUGGAAGUCACUGGAGCCAAAAUGGUACUUGUCUUCUUCAAACCACACGUGUGUGUGUUUUGUCCCCCAAAAAAACAAAAAGGAAGAGAGAGGAGGGCGUAAACUAUUAGAGGGAAAAUCGCAACUCUAACAGACUACACUGCACUCAAAUCUCAUUAUGACGGUCACGUCCGUUCAUGCAAAAUUUUGUUGCAUAGAUUUGUACCACUGUAUCGAUAACAAGACUUUAUUCACUUUGUUAUAGCAGAUAAUUUAUUAUACCUUGGUUUGUUAUAUUGAGGUUUGAGUGUAGAAUUCGAGAUUCAGUAAUUAUGCAACCAAAUUUCAUUCAGUCUCUGGGAGAAGAUAUUUUUUUUUGAUUUGAAGUUUUCUUUCUUUCUGCUGAUGCUGUUUCAUAUCGCUAUUAGGAGCUUUAUAAAUUAUUAUGCACUAUGUCUUUUGUUCUUAUUCAACUUUUAUUAUAAGGUAUUAGACUUUGAUUCCACCAUUGCAUGUAUUUAUAUCUUUGUAUUUUAUUGUUAAUUGGUAUUGCCCCUCCUGCUAGGAUCAAAUUGUACUGCAGUUAAUUGAGAUAAAUAAAUAAAACAAAACGGGAAGCACAUCAAAAACAAACCAAAGUGAGAGAAUGGUCACAUUGAAAGUUUACACAUUUUGCUUAACUAUAGUUGUCAAAAGUAAGCGCCAUCUAGAAAUGAUAAUUUCACAAAGAUCACAACUUGUUAGAAGAAAAGCUCGAGUCUCACUGGUUUUUUUGUAGUUAACAGACGGGAUGGAUUCAAAAGCCUCUUUUCAAACCUGUUGGCUGGAUGGUAUUAAUUUUGGGAAUAAAGUAGAACUCAAUAUUUUCACCCUUGUCAGUAAUCGUAGGUUUGACUGAGCGUAGCUUUGAUAAAGUUGUCACCUGCCACACUAUAAAAUGCUGUGCCACUGUUUUUGUCAUUUCUUCAUAAUGUCCACACGACGCCCGUUUAAUCUCGUAGUAUUAACAGGCUGUUCUGUAUUCGAUGUUCUAAAUACAUAACGAAAA
RNAcentral lists this unclassified non-coding RNA (2129 nucleotides) under Rhipicephalus microplus (southern cattle tick). RNAcentral's name for it is "uncharacterized LOC119163006, transcript variant X1". The record is from RNAcentral. Lineage: Eukaryota; Metazoa; Arthropoda; Arachnida; Ixodida; Ixodidae.